RNAcentral lists this transfer RNA (63 nucleotides) under Macaca mulatta (Rhesus monkey). Its description in RNAcentral is "tRNA-Lys". The record is from RNAcentral. Lineage: Eukaryota; Metazoa; Chordata; Mammalia; Primates; Cercopithecidae.
CACUGUAUAGCUAUCCUAGCAUUAACCUUUUAAGUUAAAGAUGGGGGCACACCCCUGCAGUGA